This 66-nucleotide transfer RNA is filed under the name Limnogonus intermedius. RNAcentral describes it as "tRNA-Pro". Lineage: Eukaryota; Metazoa; Arthropoda; Insecta; Hemiptera; Gerridae. The record is from RNAcentral.
CAGCAAAUAUUUUAAUUAAAAUAUUAAUUUUGGGGAUUAAAGAUGAGAUUAUUUUUUCUUUGCUGA